This 653-nucleotide ribosomal RNA is filed under the name Hynobius leechii (Gensan salamander). RNAcentral describes it as "partial 12S ribosomal RNA". It matches the Rfam family "Bacterial small subunit ribosomal RNA", at positions 620 to 1533 of the family's 1533-position model. The record is from RNAcentral. Lineage: Eukaryota; Metazoa; Chordata; Amphibia; Caudata; Hynobiidae.
ACGGCCUAAAGCGUGAUUAAAUUAUAUUAAAAUAAAUAGAAAUAAAAAUUAACUCAACUGUCAUACGUAUACGUUAAACGGUAAAUCAUAAACGAAAGAUAUUCUAAUAAAUAAAUUACUUGAACCCACGAAAGCUAAGAAACAAACUAGGAUUAGAUACCCUACUAUGCUUAGCCUUAAACUUUGGAACAACCCGCCUGAGUACUACGAGCCACAGCUUAAAACUCAAAGGACUUGGCGGUGCUCUACACCCCCCUAGAGGAGCCUGUUCUAUAAUUGAUACCCCCCGCUAAACCUCACCACUUAUUGCCAAUACCGCUUAUAUACCGCCGUCGUCAGCUCACCAUUUAAAUGAAAAAUAGUAGGCAUAAUGAUAAACAUAAAAACGUCAGGUCAAGGUGUAGCGAAUUAAGUGGAAAGAAAUGGGCUACAUUUUCUAAACUAGAAAAUACGAAAAAUUUUAUGAAAAACUAUUUAAAGGUGGAUUUAGCAGUAAAAAGAAAAUAGAGUGUUCUUUUUAAAUAGGCCAUAGAGCGCGCACACACCGCCCGUCACCCUCCUCAGAAAAACAACUAACUAAAUAAGAAAAGAAAAAGAAAAAGAAGAGGUAAGUCGUAACAUGGUAAGUUUACCGGAAGGUGUACUUGGAUUAU